AUUGAACGCUGGCGGCAGGCCUAACACAUGCAAGUCGAGCGGAUGAAGGGAGCUUGCUCCUGGAUUCAGCGGCGGACGGGUGAGUAAUGCCUAGGAAUCUGCCUGGUAGUGGGGGAUAACGUCCGGAAACGGGCGCUAAUACCGCAUACGUCCUGAGGGAGAAAGUGGGGGAUCUUCGGACCUCACGCUAUCAGAUGAGCCUAGGUCGGAUUAGCUAGUUGGUGGGGUAAAGGCCUACCAAAGCGACGAUCCGUAACUGGUCUGAGAGGAUGAUCAGUCACACUGGAACUGAGACACGGUCCAGACUCCUACGGGAGGCAGCAGUGGGGAAUAUUGGACAAUGGGCGAAAGCCUGAUCCAGCCAUGCCGCGUGUGUGAAGAAGGUCUUCGGAUUGUAAAGCACUUUAAGUUGGGAGGAAGGGCAGUAAGUUAAUACCUUGCUGCUUUGACGUUACCAACAGAAUAAGCACCGGCUAACUUCGUG
This 484-nucleotide ribosomal RNA is filed under the name uncultured bacterium. RNAcentral's name for it is "partial 16S ribosomal RNA". It matches the Rfam family "Bacterial small subunit ribosomal RNA", at positions 30 to 507 of the family's 1533-position model. The record is from RNAcentral.